GGGCUUGUAGCUCAGCAUGGAAGAGCGGUAGCCUCCUAAGCUAUAGGUCGAGGGUUCAAAUCCCUUCAAGCCCG
This 74-nucleotide transfer RNA is filed under the name archaeon. Its description in RNAcentral is "tRNA-Arg". It matches the Rfam family "tRNA". From Rfam's summary of the family: Transfer RNA (tRNA) molecules are approximately 80 nucleotides in length. The record is from RNAcentral. RNAcentral also lists the same sequence under 3 other names.